RNAcentral lists this small RNA (181 nucleotides) under Cupriavidus sp. RNAcentral describes it as "Manganese sequence". The stretch from base 9 to 150 matches the Rfam family "Manganese Mn2+ riboswitch aptamer (yybP-ykoY)". Rfam says of the family: This RNA was originally discovered in E. coli during a large scale screen and was named SraF. The family was later found to exist upstream of related families of protein genes in many bacteria, including the the yybP and ykoK genes in B. subtilis. The record is from RNAcentral. Lineage: Bacteria; Pseudomonadati; Pseudomonadota; Betaproteobacteria; Burkholderiales; Burkholderiaceae.
GCGCUUCCCAUUGGGGAGUAGCCGCCCUGCCGCGCGACACCGCGUUGUGCGACAGGGGCGUACGUCAACAGACUUGACCGCUUGCGGUUAUGGCGUGCGCAGCUUCGGAACGGUGCAAUGCCUGUUCCAGGGCCUGGCGAGACCGAUGACGUCGUUUUUCGGCUGGGCCGGGGAAAACGCA